AUGAUGUCCAAAGCUGGCGCCGGAUCGAAGAUAAAGAUUGACUGGUCCAAGGAGGGGCACCGCCGGUGCGUUAUGUCCUGCCUUGUCAAAGCCACUUACGUGAUGGAGAACGACAUACUCGGCCGAAGGUUAUACAAUAAUGAUGGGCUGGCGCCAGCGUGGUGGGAGAGCUUCGGUUUCCGUUUGGUGGAAACGUUUGUUGACGACUCGAAUCCGAACGACAAGAUGAUCUUCGGCGCCACCUUCGAGCUCAUGGCACUGAGCCGGCACCGGUCCGCCCCACGCUACGUGGUUGCCUUCCGAGGCACCAUGCUAGGUCACUACAAGAGGGCUCAAGAGCUGAUGCAGGACUGCAAAGUCAUAUUCAACGAACUGCGCGGCAGCAAGCGGUUCGAGAUCGCGCACCCCAAGGUCCACCAGCUGAUCGGCAGGGACGCCAGCGGCGUCUGGCUCACGGGGCAUUCCCUCGGCGCGUCGCUGGCGCUGGACAUAGGGCGGGACCUGAUGGAGAUCGAGGGGCACAACAUCCGGACCUUCCUCUUCAACCCGCCGCACGUGUCGGCGGCGGCGCCGAUCGACAAGGUCCUCAAGGGGGACGCCAAGACCGGGCUCUACACCACGAGCUUCAUGCUCAAGUUCGCGCUCGGCCAGGUGAUGGGCUCGUACCGCAAGCGCACCAAGCGGCUUUUCGAGCGGCUCAACCCGUGGGUGCCGGACAUGUACGUGAACCGUAAGGACAUCAUCAGCAUGGGGCAUAUUGAGUACUUCGAGCAGCGGCAGCAGGUGGCCAAGGGCUUCUCCCGCGUCGCCAAAACCGGGUCGAGACUGUCGUACCGUGAUAUGUUCCACUCCAUGUUCGGCGCCAAGACGCUCAAGCCCCACCUGCUGCCGUCGGCGAGGCUCAACUCCAGCACCGACAGUGACGCGCACAGCCUUCGGCAGUGGUGGAAGCCGGAUAGUCGACUGUCGUUGAGCACCAAGACCUACAGCUACCCACACGGCUAA
Molecule: ribosomal RNA, 1005 nt
Filed under: Triticum aestivum (bread wheat)
Lineage: Eukaryota; Viridiplantae; Streptophyta; Magnoliopsida; Poales; Poaceae
Description: partial small subunit ribosomal RNA
Source: RNAcentral